GGAAUAUUUAUUUAAUGAGGAAUGUCGUUCAUUAAUCGGUAUAUUCACAGGUUUUGCAUCACACAGGACCUCUCGACACACACCCAGCCACACGCACACACAAACACACACACACACACACAGCAAGGGUCAUGUGCGUGUACGUGUGUGUGUGUGUGGCCGGCGUUGUGAUAUUAUUGCCACUACUGACACACCUUAACAUUAGUCAACAAUAUUUACACUUCCAAAGACGAGCCACUGGUGCAGAGCCUAGCGAUCAACCGUGUGUGUGUGUGUGUGUGUGUGUGUGUGUGUGUGUUGGUGCGUGGCUCAACGAAGGAUAGAUUUAUUUCAAGCUGUUGUUCGUGUCUCACAUUUCACACCACAACACCACCACCACCACCACCACCACUUGUCACCACCGCCACCACCAUCACCGUAACACCAAAUUCGUAUACACAUAUAAAAUAUAAAGCAUUCGUAUCAUUAGUCAACCAAUUACGUGCAUCGCUCAAAUGGGCAUAAAAAAAUACGAUAUAUAUAAAUAGAUUCUCUUUAUAGGCUAAUUCUGGGGCUCUGAGGAAAGCAUAUGACGAUAGGAAGGAACUGAGGUUAGACUAAGCUCGCACCAGUGGCUCAGUUCACCUGCGCAGGCCCCCCAGUGCAGCCUAGGGUAGGACAGCACCAGGAGCAGGACAACAUGAGUAGGACAGAGUGGAACAGAGUGACGUAACAGCCUGCACGAGGGAUAGGUCAGGCCGGUCCUGCAAUAUGCUUAGAACAGGUUACAUGAGAGCCUGCAUAAGGGGUUGGGCUAGGCUGGUCCUGCAGUUAGCUUGAACAGGUCACAAAACAGCCUGUAAUUUGCUUAGUACAAGUCACAUAAGAGCCUGCAUAAGGGGUUAGCUUAGGCUGGUCCUGCAAUUAGCUUGGUCACAUAACAGCCUGCACAUAGCUUAAAGCAGGUCACAUAGCAGCCUGUACAUUUGGUUAGGCUGGUCCUGCAGUUGGCUAAGUAAAACCAGUCACAAAACAGCCAGUAAUUUGCUGAGGACAAGUCACAUAACAGCCUGCACAAGGGAUGAGGCUCGUUCUGCAUUAAGCUAAGUAGAACAGGUCACAGAAUGGCCUGCAACAAUGGUAUAGGCUGGUCCUGUAAUUUGCCUCAAGCAGGUAAUAUGACAGCCUGCAACUAGCUUAGAACAGGUCACAUAACAGCCUGCACAAAGGGUUAGGCUCGUCCUGCAUUAAGCUAAGUAGAACAGGUCACAGAACAGCCUGCAACAAUGGGGCUGGUCCUGUAAUAGCUAUAAUCUGCCAGCACACUUGGUAGUCUGGUAGAGUGGAUUCUGCCAUGACUGGGCUGUUUGGGAGGGCAGGACAGCACCUCCACCACUGCUUGAAGAGUGAGAGGAGAGAGGAAAGUCACACAGAGUAAGGCUGUAAUUCAUUAGCUCUUCACAAGUUCACAAGUGUCUAUACAACUAGUAAGUGAGGGAUUGACCACUGGGAGGAAGUUUAUGGGAGACACAGAUAGACAGACAAACAGCGGAACGAAAAAACAGCUGCUGGGGUUGCGCAAACACUGUGACCUCUUGUGGAUAGAUGCAGCAGCCGUGACCCGACACAUCGCCGACAGAAUAAGACUUACGAAAAUAUAUUCAUUUAUCAAACAAUUCAACAAUGAUAGCUCGGAAAGAGACGAUGGAUACAGGUACGGAGAAAGUGUGGAGACGAACAACAGCUACUAACUCCUACUGUGACUAAACCUUCAGUAUGGAAUAAUUCUUUGAGGUAUAACUCUGGGGUUAACACUUCUAUCACUGGUAAGAAGAAAGCAAAGGCUACAAUCUCUCAUGCUAUCCAGGGUAAUAACUCUUGACUGCUAGCCGCUACGAGAAGUCCCGGAUCGUUACACUGUCUAGCGAAGCCUCGAGGGGCAUUACGUCACUAGCAGAGCCCCAAGAAAGCCGGUAGCAAUGCAGAACAGACUUGCAUUUCUUUAAUAUUCAAUGUAAGCUUUCUAGGAAGUACUUGGAGGCAGCCGUCCACUUACUUACAACUACUGACUGACUGACUGAGUGACUUUGGGAAUGGACUAGCGGUGGACCAUGAUAAACAGCCUCCUUGGACCUACACUUAAGUUUCUUCUUACGACUGAGUUUCAAGACAUUUUUUUUGGUCCACAUAUCUCGAGACACAUCCGUCGUUACGCUCCGAAGGGAAAGCCAACCUGCAGCUACUUAGGGAAAUGAUAUUCACAUUUUUCUCACUCACAAUAAGUUAAUAUUUGCAUAGACGAACAUUGGUAUAUUUUUCCCGUGUGUUGCCACUGUCGCACCAUAACUUGUAACAUUAUGCCUUGCAGUGCCGUAACGUAUAUCGCCAUUCUGUCCUUUCUUCAUUUCCUAUCCAAUUCUGUCUUUUGUUCUUCCUUCCUUCAUUUGUAUAGAAGAAGAAGCACAGAAUAUAUAUGUGUGUAAGCUAUCCCUUCCUUCCUUCCUUCUGCAUUCGUAACUCAGAAGAAGAAAUACCAGACUAUAUUUAAGUUAUCCCUUCCUUCUUUCUUCCUUUCAUUUUUUUUCUUUCCUCAUUCAUUUGUAGUACAGAGGAAGAAACACAGAAUAUAUAUGUGAUCUAUCUCUCCCUCCCUUCCUUCCUUCCUUUCCUUCUUCAUUCAUAGCACAGAGGAAAUACAAAUUACUAUAUAUAUAAGUAAUCCCUUCCUUCCUUCUUCCCUUUCUUUGACAGGGCUGAGGGUUACUAUCAAGUCUCCUAAGCAGACACACUAUUCUGGUAUUACAUGGUGACUCUAUAGCAUGUCGAAAGCUACUCGCCCAUUUGCUAACUCGACAACUUAGAUUUCUAGGUAUAAACAUAACUAGGUAUAAACAUAACAUGAGAUAGAGUUUACCAGCUUAACAUUGCCUCCUAAAUCAAGCCUCGUAAACUGACACACUCCUUUUGAUAUUAAGAAGUGAAUGUCGAAAGCUACUCAGCCAUUUGCUAACUCGACAACUUAGAUUUCUAGGUACAAACAAAACAUGGGAUAGAGUUUACCAGCUUAACAUUGCAUCCUAAAUCAAGCCUCAUAAACUGACGCUCUCCUCUUCAUAUUACGAAGUGCAUUUCGAAAGCUACGCACCCAUUUGCUAACUCGACAACUUAGAUUUCUAGGUACAAACAAAACAUGGGAUAGAGUUUACCAGCUUGACAGUGCCUCCUAAAUCAAGCCUCGUAAAAUGACACACUCAUUUUGAUAUUGCUAAGUGCAUGUCAAAAGCUACAAGCCCAUUUGCAAACUCUCCACAUUAGAUUAACAAUUACAUUAGCUUAGAGUACCAGGUUAACACAUUGGUAUGGACUCACUAGAAGCUUUUAACAUGUCUUUCUUUAAGCUAGGGGCCAUGUAGCACCUUCCCUGUAUUAAGUUAACUGGCCACUCCUUACACACACAGCUUAACGCGACGCCACACACUGAGGCUGAUAAACAACUUGCAUUAUCCUAUCAGCUGGAGGUCACUUAGCACCUUCCCUGUCUUAACUCACACCAGCCUUUCUCUACACAGCCCAGCGCAACGUCACACUGAGAUCUGACAUACACAAGCUCUCAGGCUGAUGACAACUUGCAUACUAACUGUGAAAUGCUAGAUUUGAUGGUAUACUUAUUUCAACAUGCUAAGCUUUACGACUGAACUAACGGUUUAUUUUUACGUACAUGUGGUGGAGGUUAUUGCCGAGACUCGCAUGAUAUGGUCGAAACUUAAUAUUUUGAAGCCUUAUACAUAUUGUCACACCCAAGUUGCUAUUUCACAGAAUCAGUUACCACAUGCAAUAGAGUCUGCCAUCUGGAGUUACAUCACUGGGUCCAUUACACGAGAUGGUUAAAACUCGAUAAAUUUGACAUGGCAGAAAUAUCAAAGCCUUACAUGUUCACACACCCAAGUUGCUAUUUCACAGAGGCAGAAUCAAUCACAACAUGCAAUAUAGUCUGCCCACUGUCACAUCGCUGAGUCCGUCACACGAGAUGGUUAAAACUCGAUAUAUUUGACAUGGCAGCAAAUAUCAAAGCCUAACAUGUUCUCACACCCAAGUUGCUAUUUCAGAGAGGGAGAAUCAAUCACCACAUGCAAUAUAGUCUACCCACUGGAAUUACAUCACUGAGUCUGUCACACGAGAUAGUUAAAACUUGAUAUAUUUGACAUGGCAGCAAAUAAUGAGGCUGUACUUAUUGACGUCUUCACACAUGCAAUAGAAGUCUGCCAUCUGGAGUAUACAAGUGUCUAGUAUAUCUAUAUCCGAUGUAAAGCAGGAUUUCUUUAUACACUUUGAGACUACAAGUGUCGGUUUGCACGCCACUAACAGUGAAGAAGAGGUCCUUUCCACGGCCCCACUCCACGCACUGUAUUAUCAGGGGAAUGUUCGUACUGAUGUAUGUGUACAUUACGUUAGGUUAGGUUAGGUUAGGGCGAUUAUUAAAGAAAUGCAGCUGACAGGAUAGAUAGAACAGACAAGAUACAAAAGCAUGAUUGACCAGACUAUUUAGCACAACACACAACACCUAAGACUUGUAUAUAACCUCUAAAAACGUCAUAUAAAAAGCCCAUAUGGUACGACAAGUCCGUGAGAGACGAACGCCGUGUCUGUCAAGGGGCGAACGUGGCACAGUUUGCGACAAGCCCUAUACGGCCUUCCUGUGGGCUGUGGGCUGUGGGGGGAGGGCUGGGAGUGAGUGCCCAAGGAACAAACAAAGUCCGCCACAACAAACUGAAGGCACUAUAGCAAACAGUAGACUUAGUAUUCCCCAGAACUCGAGCAUUUUUAGGCAGCAACUGAUGGAGCUCUUGAGAAUGACAAGCUUGUUGACUGACUGCAGGGACUCGGAAACCCAGCAAAAUUAGACUUGCCAGGAAGAAAUAACAGCAAAACUUCGGUAAUCUCAAUGUAAGGUCAUCUGGGGCGACGCCUGAUGUAGUUAGCGAGACUGCAUCCGAGAGUCAACCAGUCGGAAACCUCAAUCAGUUGCAGUGGUAGUUAGCAAGACAGCGUAAGCAAGUCAGAAAUGUCGAUCGCCUGCCACAGUACAGAGUGAGCCAGUCGGAAAUGUCGAUCAGUUGUCACCAUGGUAGUUAGCGAGAUAUCUGAGAGUAAGCCAGUUGGAAUGUUGAUCAGUUCCCACGGUAGUUAGCAAGACAGCGUAAGCCAGUUGGAAAUGUUGAUCAGUUGCUGUAGUAGUUAACAAGACUGAGAGAAGCCAGUCAGAAAUGUCAAUCAGUUCCCAUGGUAUUUGGCGAGACUUAAUCUGAGAGUAAGCCAGUCGGAAUGUCAAUCAGCUCCCACGGUAGUUAGCAAGACAGCGUAAGCCAGUCGGAAACGUUGAUCAGUUGCUGUAAUAGUUAACAAGACUGCGAGUAAGCCAGUCAGAAACGUUGAUCAGUUGCUGUAGUAGUUAACAAGACUGAUAGUAAGUCAGUCGGAAACGUCGAUCAGUUGCUGUAAUAGUUAACAAGACUGCGAGUAAGCCAGUCAGAAACACUGGUCAGUUGCUG
Eriocheir sinensis (Chinese mitten crab) is the source of this 5528-nucleotide long non-coding RNA. RefSeq lists it as uncharacterized. The transcript is spliced from 3 exons. Lineage: Eukaryota; Metazoa; Arthropoda; Malacostraca; Decapoda; Varunidae. The record is from RefSeq and is a predicted model, not a curated record.